This is a long non-coding RNA of Lutra lutra (Eurasian river otter), 567 nucleotides long. RefSeq lists it as uncharacterized. The transcript is spliced from 3 exons. The record is from RefSeq and is a predicted model, not a curated record. Lineage: Eukaryota; Metazoa; Chordata; Mammalia; Carnivora; Mustelidae.
UGAUUGAUGAUAGCCCUGUGGUGCCAGAGGCAGGCACUGAAAUGAGGUAACUACAAGCCACGGAUGCCAAAGAUUGCCAGCUACCAGCAGAAGCAGAGAGGGAUCAUAUCUAGGGUCUCAGAGGGAGCACCGCCCUGUGGACACCUUGAUUUCAGACUUCCAGCCUCCAGAAUCGUGAGGAUCAGAACAAAAGGAGAGAAAGUCAGUCUUUGAUGGAAGCAUGGCUGAUGGGUCCGCAGGAUGGUGAUUCUUCUUGAAGGAUAGAACUACAAUCCUAAGCCGGAGGUCAAAAUGUGUGCCUCUGGACACAACCUGGGAUGUCAAGGAGGAAAAGCAAGCUGCCUAACCCUCACCUGACACGGGGGCAGAAAGAUUUGGCAGUCGUGCUUGCAGUGAAGGGAAAUGAAGAAUUGUGAAGCACGUCAGCAAGAGCUCAGGAAUUCUACAGUCCUCUCUCCUUCCAACUGAGAUGGUGCAUCAUUUUGAUGUCAAAGUACGUUAUGCCCACAUUCAGGCUUCCUGGUUGGGGGCUUUUAGUAAACCCACGCCUUUCUAACUUUUAUAGUC